Sciurus carolinensis (gray squirrel) is the source of this 847-nucleotide long non-coding RNA. RefSeq lists it as uncharacterized. NCBI's taxonomy places the organism in Eukaryota, Metazoa, Chordata, Mammalia, Rodentia, Sciuridae. The record is from RefSeq and is a predicted model, not a curated record. The transcript has 2 exons.
CCCAAAGCCAGGAUAAAAGGUUCUCAGGCUGAAGCAUCUCCAGCCACUCACCUGAGGUGCCCACAGACCCUGUACUGCCUGUGACCAGCUCCUGAACACACACCUGCCAAGAUGUCCUGCCAGCAGAGCCAGCAGCAGUGCCAGCCCCCUCCCAAGUGCACCCCCAAGUGCCCUCAAAAGUGCCCUGCCCCAAAGUGCCCCCCAAAGUGUCCCCCUAAGUGCCCUCCAGCCCCUUCCUGCUGCAGUGUCAGCUCUGGGGGUUGCUGUGGUUCCAGCUCUGGGGGCUGCUGUGGCUCCAGCUCUGGGGGCUGCUGUAGCUCUGGGGGUGGUGGCUGCUGCCUGAGCCACCACAGGCCCCGCAGGUCCCACCGCCAUAGACAGAGCUCUGGCUGCUGCAGCCAGCCCUCAGGGGACUCCAGCUGCUGUGGAGGGGGCAGCAGCCAGCAAUCUGGAGGCUGCUGCUGAAGUGGACCCUGGUCCUAGAUGAGCAGAAUUGAGAACUUCCAACUCAGAGGACAUCCUCCUUCUCAGGCCUAGACUCUGGACCUAGAAGAGCAGACUUGGAAGAAGAAAAUAUCCAAAUGUUUUCUCCUCUUGCUCUUUGUCCUGAAUCUGCCCAGUGCUGAGAAGUCUUCUUGAAUGGUCAUGGUGCUGAGAAGUCUCUGCUCAAACUUUUCUAGAUCAUUCUGUGUUGUCCAGGAUCUCAAAGCUAUGCCCCAAACAUCUUCACUGACUUCUUUUACCACAUAUCCUGGUGUCCUAAGGCACAGACUCUAUGUCCCUCUGCACUUUAUCUCUGCAUACCCAAGCAUAAUGUGAAUUAAUAAAACCUGAAUUCUGCAUUUGA